Molecule: long non-coding RNA, 816 nt
Filed under: Triticum aestivum (bread wheat)
Lineage: Eukaryota; Viridiplantae; Streptophyta; Magnoliopsida; Poales; Poaceae
Description: long non-coding RNA (TAES_LNC012258)
Source: RNAcentral
ACUGUGUUGUGCCAACUUGACUUUAACUCAUUGUUAAUACAACAUGGCUGUAGGGAAAUAUUUCUUGGCUGAUGCUGGGUAUGCUGCGAGGCCAGGGAUAUUGCCUCCUUAUCGUGGUGUGCGCUACCACCUAAACGAAUUUGCUGGAGACCGUGACCCAACUACCCCAAAAGAAUUGUUCAACCACCGCCAUUCAUCACUUAGGACCACAGUUGAACGGGCAUUUGGGACUCUUAAGAGUCGCUUCAAGAUUCUUACUCAAAGGCCCUUCAUACCUUUGAAAUCUCAGAUUAAAGUGGUAGUUGCUUGUUGUGCUUUGCACAAUUGGAUAUUAGAAAAUGGUCCAGAUGAUUAUGUUGUGGAUGAGGCGACAUGGUAUGCCAAUCUCCCUAGGAGUACUGGGCGGGUUCGUGAUCAAGAGGCUGACAUACGUGAGUGGGCUGCCAAGCGAGAUUUAAUCGCUCAGCAAAUGUGGACAGAUAGAGAGAGUGCACGUGACAAUGAGGCUGAUGCUAUCCCAGCUCAGUAUCUUUGAUGUAUUUCCAUGUGAGGGAACAUUUGAAGGAUGUACUGUACCUUUGAUGUAUUUCCAUGUGAGGGAACAUUUGAAGGAUGUACUGUACCUUUGAUGUAUUUCCAUGCGAGGGAAAAAUUGAACGAUGUAGUGUUUCUAUUCUAAUGACUUUGUGUAAAUUAUCGUAUCCUCGUAAUAUUGUUUGACUUAUUUCAAUUUAAUCUGGUCUCUCUGUCCUAUUAAAUAAGUUUAGUUCUGUCCUGUUGUAAGUUGGAUCUGUGAUGUUUCAUGUUCGUAUGCUG